Long non-coding RNA from Heterocephalus glaber (naked mole-rat), 407 nucleotides. The record is from Ensembl. NCBI's taxonomy places the organism in Eukaryota, Metazoa, Chordata, Mammalia, Rodentia, Bathyergidae.
GUGUGACUCACAUGUUUAAGGGGAUGCUGUUAUAAACAGAUCUACUACACUGACAACUGUAUAAAAGCAUAGUGCCUACAAUUAUGUACAGUACAUUGUACUAUACACUUUAUCAUCAUUUUAGAAUGUGCUACUUCUACUUAUAAGAUAAUUUUUACUGUAAAACAGUAUACCGUGGCACACUGGAAGAAGCCACCUAUAUUUGAGGCUGACUGCAUUUCUUGAGGACAUCAAGAAGCCAUGUUCAGCGGUGGACCUGUACCAUCUAAUUCUGUGUGCAAACCCAACUGGGAUGAGCUGCUAAGGAUUAAAAAGAGGCUGGUAUUGAGGUUGGAACCUGAGAAGCACAAGAACACUUUACUGUACCUCUUCUCUCCAAUAAUUCCUGUGCAAAAACCAAACCAAAC